UGGGGAAUAUUGGACAAUGGGCGCAAGCCUGAUCCAGCAAUGCCGCGUGGGUGAAGAAGGUCUUCGGAUUGUAAAGCCCUUUCGGCGGGGACGAUGAUGACGGUACCCGCAGAAGAAGCCCCGGCUAACUUCGUGCCAGCAGCCGCGGUAAUACGAAGGGGGCUAGCGUUGCUCGGAAUGACUGGGCGUAAAGGGCGCGUAGGCGGUUUGGACAGUCAGGCGUGAAAUUCCCGGGCUUAACCUGGGGGCUGCGCUUGAUACAUCUGGACUUGAGUGAGGAAGAGGGUCGUGGAAUUCCCAGUGUAGAGGUGAAAUUCGUAGAUAUUGGGAAGAACACCGGUGGCGAAGGCGGCGACCUGGUCCUUUACUGACGCUGAGGCGCGAAAGCGUGGGGAGCAAACAGGAUUAGAUACCCCCGUAGUCC
RNAcentral lists this ribosomal RNA (424 nucleotides) under uncultured bacterium. Its description in RNAcentral is "bacterial SSU rRNA". It matches the Rfam family "Bacterial small subunit ribosomal RNA", at positions 355 to 796 of the family's 1533-position model. The record is from RNAcentral.